Non-coding RNA from Cyanistes caeruleus (blue tit), 1129 nucleotides. NCBI's taxonomy places the organism in Eukaryota, Metazoa, Chordata, Aves, Passeriformes, Paridae. The record is from RefSeq and is a predicted model, not a curated record.
GGCUCUGAGACAAACCUCCAACCCCCGACAGAACCCGGUGUCUUUCACAGAAGAAGGAUGGACAGAUGGACAUUGUCUGACACUGCUCUGAGGGGAAAGCUAAAACCUGACAGUGAGAGACGUGUCCUGGGGCUCCUCUCUGAGCUGUUACUGCAGAUAUCUCUACACAAUGAGCAUAUUUAUGUGGGGAAAUAUCAAAAGAGCAGCAAACAUUGCCAAGCCACAACAGCCCUCCAUACACCAGCUCCACAAGGACUGGUUUUCACACCUGAAUCAAUUCUUUCCCUAUCACCCCAAGAGCAGCUCUGGAAUUCUUCACAGACUCUUAAGGACGGCUCAUCAAUAACCAGAUGGGCCCUGACGAUCAGAGACCGAUGAGGGCAGAUGAACUGUUGUCCUUCUUUGCCCUUCAGCCAGCCGCCCCUGGGCUCUGCAACACCUUGCUGUGGUCAGCCUGUGGCUGUCUGAACCCUGUUUCUGCAGCAGCCUCACCAGGGCAUGAAGGCAGAGCAGUCUAGGGGUGCUGAGCUGUGCCAGGGCUGUGGCUGCUCCUUGCUCCCUGUGCUUGCACCUGGCUCUGCUCUUCUGCUUCUCUACACCAGCUCUGGAGCUCAUUGACUCCCAGUCAAAACUCUCCCAUGAGUCAAAACCAAAGCAUGAUUUUCAGGAGGUUCCAUGAGCUUGGAGGGCCAGGAGAGCUCAGAAUGUGCAGGAGCAAGUGGCUAGGUGGGAAUGGGAAGGGGAUGAGAGAACAAGGGACAGUGCCAGCCCUGGAGCAGCCUGGCUGAUGGGUUCCAUGAGCCAUCCCCCAAAAUAAGCCCAUACAGUCCUGACUGAGGUCAGGGAGUCAGUGUAUUUGGCAGGAGCACUGAGGAGCACCUGGACACAGGUCUCCAGGAGGAUUUAAUAUUCCUUUAUUCCCUCUGACUUUGAUUUAACCAUGGGCUGUGAUGCUUUAAGUACCAGAUAUUAAUUAGAAGAGGUAGUAGGUCCCAAAGGGACUGUACUCCAGAUCUUCUCACCAUUCCUAGUUUGACUUAUUUCAGGUUACUACUCUGAAACAUUAUUUAUGCACUCAGGAGCCUGACAUUUUUAAGGCCUAACUAAAUUUGCAAAUAACUAAAGGCUG